AUACUUACCUUAAGAUAACAUGGGAGAUCAAGAAGUCCUUUUGUUCAAGUAUGCUCUUUCAAUUAAAGGGACGCUAAGCGUUUACGUUGAAAUUUGAUUUUAAAUAAGAAUUUUUAUUUUUAUUCUAAAGUUCUAUUUCAAAUACUUAAUUGACGUAAGCUCCCUUGUCCAUUACACACAAGUUGGCGAAAGGUGUGCUUGCCGACGUCUCAUUCCUUCGUUUCAAUUGUAUUUUAUGUUUUGGUACAUUUGUUAUUCUCAUUGAGAUUAAUAAAUUUAUUUGAGCAUUUUAAAUAUUUUUGAAGCCCUUUGUUUCUUCUGCCUGGAGAAGGAUGGUGCUGAAAACAAAUCAGCAUUGGAGGAGUUGGAAUUCUGUUUAGGAGAGCCUUUAAAGUCGAUGAAAAUUUAGUUUGGUAGAAAAUUUAUUAUUUUAUAUUCUAUUGAUUCCAUUAAUUGUUUAAUCGACCCCGGUUGAUUAAGUAUAUUUCUGUGAAGGUUGAAUAGAAGUAAUAUCAAUUGUUUUCAUAUCUACUAGGUUUGCAUUGAUUUGAAUGAUAUUUUAAUAAUGAGAAUUUUUUUUUCAUUUUUUAAGAUAUUGUUUUAAAUCGAUAAUUGACCUUAGAGACAUAGUUUUAAAAUAUUCGUAUUUUUAACUAAAAUCCUGGAGAAUUUUAUUGGAGAUGGGCGGGUCUUAUAAUUUUUGAUGCAUCUU
This 712-nucleotide small nuclear RNA is filed under the name Henningerozyma blattae CBS 6284. Its description in RNAcentral is "Tetrapisispora blattae CBS 6284 Yeast U1 spliceosomal RNA". It matches the Rfam family "Yeast U1 spliceosomal RNA". Rfam says of the family: U1 is a small nuclear RNA (snRNA) component of the spliceosome (involved in pre-mRNA splicing). Its 5' end forms complementary base pairs with the 5' splice junction, thus defining the 5' donor site of an intron. The record is from Rfam by way of RNAcentral. Lineage: Eukaryota; Fungi; Ascomycota; Saccharomycetes; Saccharomycetales; Saccharomycetaceae.